UCGGGGGUCGUCUAAUGGUAGGACAGCGGGUUUUGGUCCCGUCAAUCUAGGUUCGAAUCCUGGCCCCCGAG
RNAcentral lists this transfer RNA (71 nucleotides) under Candidatus Buchananbacteria bacterium. RNAcentral describes it as "tRNA-Gln". It matches the Rfam family "tRNA". From Rfam's summary of the family: Transfer RNA (tRNA) molecules are approximately 80 nucleotides in length. Lineage: Bacteria; Candidatus Buchananiibacteriota. The record is from RNAcentral.